Molecule: ribosomal RNA, 434 nt
Filed under: uncultured Clostridiales Family XIV bacterium
Lineage: Bacteria; Bacillati; Bacillota; Clostridia; Eubacteriales; Clostridiales Family XIV. Incertae Sedis
Description: bacterial SSU rRNA
Rfam family: Bacterial small subunit ribosomal RNA
Source: RNAcentral
ACGGGAGGCAGCAGUGGGGAAUAUUGCACAAUGGGGGAAACCUUGAUGCAGCGACGCCGCGUGAGUGAAGAAGUAUCUCGGUAUGUAAAGCUCUAUCAGCAGGGAAGAAAAUGACGGUACCUGACUAAGAAGCCCCGGCUAACUACGUGCCAGCAGCCGCGGUAAUACGUAGGGGGCAAGCGUUAUCCGGAUUUACUGGGUGUAAAGGGAGCGUAGGCGGCGAUGCAAGUCUGAAGUGAAAGGCGGGGGCUCAACCCUUGGACUGCUUUGGAAACUGUAUUGCUAGAGUGCAGGAGAGGUAAGUGGAAUUCCUAGUGUAGCGGUGAAAUGCGUAGAUAUUAGGAGGAACACCAGUGGCGAAGGCGGCUUACUGGACUGUAACUGACGUUGAGGCUCGAAAGCGUGGGGAGCAAACAGGAUUAGAUACCCUGGUA